GCUGGGCAUGGUGGCACAUGCCUGUAAUCCCAUCAGCUUGGGAGGCUGAGGCAGGAGGAUUGCAAGUUCAAAGCCAGCCUCAGCAACUUAGCAAGGCCCUGUCUCAA
RNAcentral lists this small RNA (107 nucleotides) under Marmota monax (woodchuck). The record is from RNAcentral. Lineage: Eukaryota; Metazoa; Chordata; Mammalia; Rodentia; Sciuridae.